Molecule: long non-coding RNA, 1515 nt
Organism: Pleuronectes platessa (European plaice)
Lineage: Eukaryota; Metazoa; Chordata; Actinopteri; Pleuronectiformes; Pleuronectidae
Exons: 3
Source: RefSeq, a predicted model, not a curated record
CACACAACACACAUCGAGUCAGCCAGUGUGAAUGAGCAGUCAGAGGGGAGCAGAGGAGAGAAACAUGGCUCAUGUACAAAAGUUGAGAGAGACGGAGGAAGAGGAGGAGAGAGGCCGGCUCUGGAUGGAGACUCAAAGAGUAACCAGAGAAGAGGAGAAGACCACAGACUUUCUGUAGCACAAUAAAGGAAGACUAAACAACUUCUGAAAUCAAGAGGUAGCAACACGGAUCUCGGCCUGUCUGACUGACAUCUCUCAGUGGAUAUCCUGAAAAUCCACCUAGGACAGAACUACGUUUCCUUCCAAGGAAAGGCUCAUCCACCCAUGACCUGACUAUUAUCUUUGAAAUCUCUGUAAUAGCCCUCAUCCAGACUGAUAUAGGAACCUGGGUGUGACACUCAACAGUCAACUCUCCCUGACUACUGCAACAACCCGUUCCUGUAGAUACAUGCUGCACAACAUCAGGAGAAUACGUCCUCUUCUCACUCAGAAGGCAGUGCAGGUUCUGGUCCAGACUCUGGUCAUCUCCCACCUAGACUAUUCUAACUCCCUCCUGGAAGGAAGCAAAUUGUACUUAGUUGAUUUUUGUUGUUCGGAGUUUGUACCCUCAUUGUUGAAUGCACUUAUUGUAAGUCAAUUUGGAUAAAAGCGUCAGCUAAAUGAUAUGUCGUGUAACGUAAUGGUAUGGUAGGAGUAGCAGUAGAAGAAGCAGUAGUUGUAGUAGUAGUUGUAGUAUUCUUGUAUUUAUUUUAUAUAAUACAAUUAUACUAAAAGGAUUGGACAUAGUUUUUAACGGAUGUACCAGUGUGUAGUCUACUAGUUGCAUAGUGUGAUUCCUACACAUCGGUAUGAGUCAGGAAACGGGCAGGAAACAUCACUGCGGACCCAUCACACCCUGGACACAACUACUUCCAACUCCUCCCCUCUGGUGGGCGCUACAGAGCACUGAAGGCCCAAACUACCAGACACCACAAACAGCUUCUUAACCCUGGCCGUCACUCUGAUGAACACUUAAUCAGGCAGGGUCAGGAACAAUCCGUGUGCAAUAGCAACAUUAUAUUCUAAAUUAUAUAUUUAAACAUAUUCCAUCUACCUCAUGUAUAUAGAGUAUCCUGUGACCAUUUUCCCCAAAUUUAUUCUAGCAUCUCUGCACUCUGCAUCAUUACACUAUUUCUCCAUUUCAUUGUCAUUGUUGUUGUGUUUCAUAUUCAUAUAUACGGUACAUACUUUUGUAAAUAUAUUUAUAUGCAUACUUGUACAUUGUCAUUCAAUGUCAAAUUGUCAAAUUCCUUGCAUGUGUUCGCAUACAUGGUCAAUGUAGCUGAUUCUGAUGAAUGCAUUUGUUAAGAUGAAUAAGUAGUAACACUAUUUGAUCGCCAGGGGUCAGCAACGCUUAUCAUUUAAAACUAGACGCCUAUUACACAACAGUACAUUUCAUAAAGAUAAGACAAUCAAAGAUGGCUAUGCUUCAUAAGGACGUCUCAUCUUUGUGAUGAAAGGCUACAUAGAGGAUUA